Molecule: non-coding RNA, 238 nt
Filed under: mine drainage metagenome
Source: RNAcentral
CCCUACCAUGAUGCUGUUGGUGCUUGCGCGGCCAUUCGUGGUCGCGCGGUUAAACGGGAAACAGGGCGAUGCCGGCUUCGCACGCAUCCAGCCUGUGCUGCCCCCGCAACGGUACGUGGACGCAGGCGCGAGCCUGCUGUCCCGAUGCAACAAGCCACUGGUCGCCAGCAAAGACACUGGGAAGGCGCAUCGGGAAAGUCCACCAGCCCGGAUACCGGCCAACAGGCGAAAACCGCAG